This 707-nucleotide ribosomal RNA is filed under the name uncultured organism. RNAcentral's name for it is "bacterial SSU rRNA". It matches the Rfam family "Bacterial small subunit ribosomal RNA", at positions 626 to 1323 of the family's 1533-position model. The record is from RNAcentral.
UGACGAACUGAUAGUCUUGAGGCAGAUAGGGGCAACUGGAACUCUUGGUGGAGCGGUGGAAUGCGUAGAUAUCAAGAGGAACGCCAGAGGCGAAGGCGAGUUGCUGGGCCUGUCCUGACGCUGAGACACGAAAGCCAGGGGAGCGAACGGGAUUAGAUACCCCGGUAGUCCUGGCCCUAAACGAUGUCCACUAGAUCGGAGGCACUCUGACGUGUUUCUGGUCGAAAUGAAAACGGUAAGUGGACCGCCUGGGGAGUACGGUCGCAAGGCUAAAACUCAAAGGAAUUGACGGGGGCUCACACAAGCGGUGGAGCAUGUUGCUUAAUUCGAUGCAACGCGAAGAACCUUAUCCUAGGCUUGACAUAUACGAAUGCCUACUGGGAAACCAGGUCGGCUGCCCUUUGGGGUGAAACGUAUACAGGUGCUGCAUGGCUGUCGUCAGCUCGUGUCGUGAGAUGUUGGGUUAAGUCCCGUAACGAGCGAAACCCUUGUCGUUAGUUGCCAGCGCGUAAUGGCGGGGACUCUAACGAGACUGCCGGUGUUAAACCGGAGGAAGGUGGGGAUGACGUCAAGUCCUCAUGGCCUUUAUGCCUAGGGCUGCAAACGUGCUACAAUGGCCGGUACAAAACGAAGCGAGACCGCGAGGUGGAGCAAAUCGUAAAAAACCGGCCCCAGUUCGGAUUGGAGUCUGCAACUCGACUCCAUGA